RNAcentral lists this long non-coding RNA (638 nucleotides) under Homo sapiens (human). RNAcentral's name for it is "novel transcript". The record is from RNAcentral. Lineage: Eukaryota; Metazoa; Chordata; Mammalia; Primates; Hominidae.
AAAAAUGAGAAGUCAAGUUUAAUUAUAAAAAAUGUGUGGUCUAUCCCUCUAUUAAAAUCUGUAUACACAUCUGUACUCCAUGACCUCAGAUUGCCAUAUUUCUUCCUCUGAAGCACAAGAAAGUCUUCCUUUUACCUCACCCAAUUCUCUCCUGCUUUUAAUUCGAGCCUAUUUCCAUUCAUUGGGUUUGUUGCAGACAUGAAGAGCAAACUGGCUUUGAAGUUAAUAAUCAUUAUUUUCUCAUUUCUUGGGAUAAAGGCAAAAAGAAUCCCUUCAGCCUUCCCUCAGAAACCAUUCUUUAGCCCUUUCAUCAUCUUUGUCACUUCUCUGAACUCACUCCAGGUUCGCCACAUCUGCACGUUACAAGCGUGAGUUCUCAGUGUUCUCAAACAUCCCCAACUCCGUUCUCAAAAACAUCUGCCAGCACUUGGGGCCAAGUCUAGAGUUAAUCCUUCUGUUUUAACACCUCUGGUAUGGGUCACAGACUAGCCGUUUUGUUGCCUUUAAACAAAACAAACAACAACAAAAAAACCAUAGGGAUGGGAUAUUUCGAAGGUGAGUGGCCAACUUUCAGAAUGACAGUGUUUUCUUCUGACCUCAAAGAUGGGCUGCCUUCCAAGGGGAGCCUUGAAGUUUCA